ACGGGAGGCAGCAGUGGGGAAUUUUGCGCAAUGGGGGGAACCCUGACGCAGCAACGCCGCGUGCGGGAUGGAGGCCUUCGGGUUGUAAACCGCUUUCAGCAGGGACGAUUAUGACGGUACCUGCAGAAGAAGCUCCGGCUAACUACGUGCCAGCAGCCGCGGUAAUACGUAGGGGGCGAGCGUUAUCCGGAUUCAUUGGGCGUAAAGCGCGCGUAGGCGGCUGCCUAAGCGGAGUUUCUAACCUUGGGGCUCAACCUCAAGCCGGACUCCGAACUGGGCGGCUCGAGUGCGGUAGGGGCAGGCGGAAUUCCACGUGUAGCGGUGAAAUGCGCAGAUAUGUGGAGGAACACCGAUGGCGAAGGCAGCCUGCUGGGCCGACACUGACGCUGAGGCGCGAAAGCCGGGGGAGCGAACAGGAUUAGAUACCCUGGUA
This 433-nucleotide ribosomal RNA is filed under the name uncultured Adlercreutzia sp. RNAcentral describes it as "partial 16S ribosomal RNA". It matches the Rfam family "Bacterial small subunit ribosomal RNA", at positions 341 to 792 of the family's 1533-position model. Lineage: Bacteria; Bacillati; Actinomycetota; Coriobacteriia; Eggerthellales; Eggerthellaceae. The record is from RNAcentral.